AAGAAAACGGGGCGAGCGGCCGCGUAAGUGUGUGGGGUGGAAGAGGUGUCCGCAAGGACGUGGCGGAAAGCUCGUUCGGGCGGCUAGUUCCGUCCGGGGUGAAAGCCCAGAGCUCAACUCUGGGACGGCCGGUGAGACGGGAUAGGUUGAGGAGCGGAGAGGCAAGGUGAAUUCCACGUGGAGCGGUGAAAUGCGUAUAGAUGUGGAGGAACACCUGUGGCGAAGUCGCCGUGCUGGCCGAUUUCUGACGCUGAGGCGCGAAAGCGUGGGGAGCAAACAGGAUUAGAUACCCCAGUAGUC
This 300-nucleotide ribosomal RNA is filed under the name uncultured Tepidiphilus sp. RNAcentral describes it as "bacterial SSU rRNA". The stretch from base 62 to 300 matches the Rfam family "Bacterial small subunit ribosomal RNA", at positions 557 to 795 of the family's 1533-position model. Lineage: Bacteria; Pseudomonadati; Pseudomonadota; Hydrogenophilia; Hydrogenophilales; Hydrogenophilaceae. The record is from RNAcentral.